AGAGUUUGAUCCUGGCUCAGGACGAGCGCUGGCGGCGCGCCUAACACAUGCAAGUCGAACGGAGCAUUGAGAGCUUGCUUUUAAUGCUUAGUGGCGAACGGGUGAGUAACGCGUGAGUAACCUGCCCUUGAGUGGGGGACAACAGUUGGAAACGACUGCUAAUACCGCAUAAGACCACAGAGCCGCAUGGCUCAGAGGUAAAAGGAUUUAUUCGCUCAAGGAUGGACUCGCGUCCAAUUAGCUAGUUGGUGAGGUAACGGCCCACCAAGGCGACGAUUGGUAGCCGG
Molecule: ribosomal RNA, 287 nt
Filed under: uncultured bacterium
Lineage: Bacteria
Description: partial 16S ribosomal RNA
Rfam family: Bacterial small subunit ribosomal RNA
Source: RNAcentral